Non-coding RNA from Oryza sativa Japonica Group (Japanese rice), 1258 nucleotides. The record is from RefSeq and is a predicted model, not a curated record. NCBI's taxonomy places the organism in Eukaryota, Viridiplantae, Streptophyta, Magnoliopsida, Poales, Poaceae.
UAGGUUUUCUUUUUCCCUUCCCUUUUCACCACCAAAUUAAAAUGUUUUUGGAAUGUUUUUUUCUAAAAUUUUUUGCCCUUAAUUUCAAGGGUUAGCAGUUCUUGUCGUCUACUCCUUCUGUCCCAAAAAGAACUAAUUUUUUUCUAUGAAUAUGGACAUGCAAAAUUGAUUUUUUUUGGGACGGAGGGAGUAGCUUGAUGCUCUUCUCGAUCUGACCGUACGUCCAAUCGGAGCGAGGGUUCAGCGAGGUUUGGUGAUCGAUAACGAAGCCGUUUACUUGUGCGAGAGAGCAGCAACGAAUUCAAAGGUCACCGAUCGAAGCUGCAUUGCACAUCAGGCGAGAAGGCGAGAGCUCGAAUGGAUGAAGAAAGAAGCAUAAUCGUCUUGUGAGUACAAAAGCUCAGUGCCAGACACUCAAUCAGGGGGUACCAUUUUUCCUCGAAGCGUCAAUAGAAGCUAGAGACAUGAUGCUAAAUGGGUUGUUAAGGCGACGACAAUAUGUAAUAAAUUAAUUAGUUACUGUAAUUAAUUAGUUAGUGCUACUCCGAUUAAGGAACGGAUGCAGUGUCAUCAUGAUCUUUUGGACUGCACCAUUGGGAGCUAGGAAGGAUUCUUCCAUCCAGAUUCAAAAGGACAAGUUUGCUUCUCCACAUAUGCCUUUUAAAAAAACCCCGGGAGCAAUUAAGAAUAAACCACCCUACUUGCGAGUCUGUGACGCAAGCAACAGCCAUUGGCCCGGCACAAAGGUUUCUCUGAAUAUAUAAGCUCCUUGCUCAACUAUCAACGCCUGCAACUGCAUCUCUAAUAAUUAAGCAUCCAAAAUGCUCCACGUACAUCAAGCACAAGCUCAUACAAGUUAGCUAGCUGCCAAAGUUAAUUAGCAUCACCGGCAUAGUGACAUGUUAGGUGUAACAGAUUCCGUAUAUCCCUGUGGCCCACAUGUCAGAAGAGUACUUAAGCUCUUGUUCGGAAGGCUUGAGAUUCUGGGGUGGGUAGCCACUGGUAAGCAUCAGGAAAAAAAAUAGAUUUUCAGCUUCCGGCUUUAAUUUAUUUUCUAAACUUUAUAACUUCAAUUCUUAGGAUCUUCAUAAAAAUCUAAACUGUUAAGGAGGGCUGAAAACUCUUUAGAAAAAAGUUGCAGUUGUCAAAAGCUUCUAAACAGGACCUAAGAUUGAUUAGAUGACACAUUACAACUUAACUUGUAAGCAUGGCAAUUAGCAUGGAGCUACUACAAUAUAAUGUACUACUUCCUCCAUCU